AACUCACUGUGACAGCAUGGCUUCUUUUUGGUGAAUUUGUCUCCUGAUCUAAAGUUGUGGAGGAUCUGAACAACACAACUGAAAGUGUCAGGCCAGA
Thalassophryne amazonica is the source of this 97-nucleotide long non-coding RNA. RefSeq lists it as uncharacterized. The record is from RefSeq and is a predicted model, not a curated record. The transcript has 4 exons. Lineage: Eukaryota; Metazoa; Chordata; Actinopteri; Batrachoidiformes; Batrachoididae.